AUUAAACGCUGGCGGCAUGCCUUACACAUGCAAGUCGAACGGCAGCACGGGGGCAACCCUGGUGGCGAGUGGCGAACGGGUGAGUAAAGCAUCGGAACGUGCCCUGGAGUGGGGGGAUAACGUAGCGAAAGUUACGCUAAUACCGCAUAUUCUGUGAGCAGGAAAGCAGGGGAUCGCAAGACCUUGCGCUCUGGGAGCGGCCGAUGUCGGAUUAGCUAGUUGGUGGGGUAAAGGCCUACCAAGGCGACGAUCCGUAGCGGGUCUGAGAGGAUGAUCCGCCACACUGGGACUGAGACACGGCCCAGACUCCUACGGGAGGCAGCAGUGGGGAAUUUUGGACAAUGGGCGAAAGCCUGAUCCAGCCAUGCCGCGUGAGUGAAGAAGGCCUCGGUUGGUUAAAGG
This 402-nucleotide ribosomal RNA is filed under the name uncultured bacterium. RNAcentral describes it as "bacterial SSU rRNA". It matches the Rfam family "Bacterial small subunit ribosomal RNA", at positions 29 to 432 of the family's 1533-position model. The record is from RNAcentral.